GUCUAGGGCCACACCACCCUGAACGCGCCCGAUCUUGUCUGGUCAUGGAAGCUAACCAGGGUCGGGUCGGGCCUUGUUAGUACUUGGAUGGGAGACCGCCUGAGAAUACCGGGUGCUGUAGGCG
This 124-nucleotide ribosomal RNA is filed under the name Microcebus murinus (gray mouse lemur). Lineage: Eukaryota; Metazoa; Chordata; Mammalia; Primates; Cheirogaleidae. The record is from RNAcentral.